GGAGAGGUGGCCGAGUGGUUGAAGGCGCUGGUCUCGAAAACCAGUAUACCUUAAGUGGUAUCGUGGGUUCGAAUCCCACCCUCUCCGCCA
RNAcentral lists this transfer RNA (90 nucleotides) under Ignavibacteria bacterium. RNAcentral's name for it is "tRNA-Ser". It matches the Rfam family "tRNA". From Rfam's summary of the family: Transfer RNA (tRNA) molecules are approximately 80 nucleotides in length. Their secondary structure includes four short double-helical elements and three loops (D, anti-codon, and T loops). Lineage: Bacteria; Pseudomonadati; Ignavibacteriota; Ignavibacteria. The record is from RNAcentral.